AAGGAUCAUUAACGAGUAAACAGGGGAGUUGUAGCUGGCCGCAAGGCAUGUGCACGCUCCCUACUCAAUCCCACCUUACACCUGUGCAUCUAUUGUAGGUCGGGUGGCUUGGCUACAUGUCAGGCUGUCCUUCCUAUGUCUACACAUACACUUUAUAGUUUCAGAAUGUAAACUGCGUAUAACGCAUCUAUAAACA
Molecule: unclassified non-coding RNA, 196 nt
Filed under: Gloeophyllum trabeum
Lineage: Eukaryota; Fungi; Basidiomycota; Agaricomycetes; Gloeophyllales; Gloeophyllaceae
Description: ITS1
Source: RNAcentral